RNAcentral lists this ribosomal RNA (98 nucleotides) under uncultured bacterium. RNAcentral's name for it is "partial 16S ribosomal RNA". It matches the Rfam family "Bacterial small subunit ribosomal RNA", at positions 1386 to 1482 of the family's 1533-position model. The record is from RNAcentral.
CACACCGCCCGUCACACCAUGGGAGUCAGUUUGCUCUAGAAGUCGGUGAGCUAACCUUCGGGAAGCAGCCGCCUAAAGAGUGUCUGGUAACUGGGGUG